Non-coding RNA from Phrynosoma platyrhinos (Desert horned lizard), 72 nucleotides. NCBI's taxonomy places the organism in Eukaryota, Metazoa, Chordata, Lepidosauria, Squamata, Phrynosomatidae. The record is from the annotation of a GenBank genome assembly.
GCCAGUGUGGCUUAGUGGUUUGAGCACUAAACUACAGCUCUGAUAACCAGGGUUCAAUUCCCCACUCAGCCA